GACAGAGGGUGCAAACGUUGUUCGGAAUUACUGGGCGUAAAGCGCGUGUAGGCGGCCCGGAAAGUCGGAUGUGAAAGCCCUGGGCUUAACCCAGGAAGUGCAUUCGAAACUCCCGGGCUUGAGUUCUGGAGAGGAAGGCGGAAUUCUCGGUGUAGAGGUGAAAUUCGUUGAUAUUGGAAGGAACGCCGGUGGCGAAAGCGACCUGCUGGACCUCUUCUGACGCUGAUGCGCGAAAGCUAGGGGAGCGAACGGG
RNAcentral lists this ribosomal RNA (253 nucleotides) under uncultured bacterium. RNAcentral's name for it is "partial 16S ribosomal RNA". It matches the Rfam family "Bacterial small subunit ribosomal RNA", at positions 524 to 776 of the family's 1533-position model. The record is from RNAcentral.